This 659-nucleotide ribosomal RNA is filed under the name bacterium 62-L049658-122-015-F08. RNAcentral's name for it is "bacterial SSU rRNA". It matches the Rfam family "Bacterial small subunit ribosomal RNA", at positions 60 to 708 of the family's 1533-position model. The record is from RNAcentral.
AGUCGAACGGUAGCACAGAAGAGCUUGCUCUUCGGGUGACGAGUGGCGGACGGGUGAGUAAUGUCUGGGGAUCUGCCCGAUAGAGGGGGAUAACCACUGGAAACGGUGGCUAAUACCGCAUAACGUCGCAAGACCAAAGAGGGGGACCUUCGGGCCUCUCACUAUCGGAUGAACCCAGAUGGGAUUAGCUAGUAGGUGGGGUAACGGCUCACCUAGGCGACGAUCCCUAGCUGGUCUGAGAGGAUGACCAGCCACACUGGAACUGAGACACGGUCCAGACUCCUACGGGAGGCAGCAGUGGGGAAUAUUGCACAAUGGGCGCAAGCCUGAUGCAGCCAUGCCGCGUGUAUGAAGAAGGCCUUCGGGUUGUAAAGUACUUUCAGCGGGGAGGAAGGGAGCGAGGUUAAUAACCUCGUUCAUUGACGUUACCCGCAGAAGAAGCACCGGCUAACUCCGUGCCAGCAGCCGCGGUAAUACGGAGGGUGCAAGCGUUAAUCGGAAUUACUGGGCGUAAAGCGCACGCAGGCGGUCUGCUAAGUCAGAUGUGAAAUCCCCGGGCUUAACCUGGGAACUGCAUUUGAAACUGGCAGGCUAGAGUCUUGUAGAGGGGGGUAGAAUUCCAGGUGUAGCGGUGAAAUGCGUAGAGAUCUGGAGGAAUA